CUGACACUUCAUUUGAGAUGCUGUACCAUUUUGUCACCCACUGUUCUGGAUACUAAGACUUAGAGCCUUGUUUUUGGUAGGUGCUGCACAGACACCUCCCAGGGCUGUGGUCUCUGCCCUGAUACAAGACAGAACCAGUGCAGAGUGAGGCUGCUUCUCUCCAGUCACGGAGGAGAUCAAGAACAGAGCUAGGAACAGGAGGACCCCAGCAAAAUGAUUAUAUAUUCUCAUCACAACAUCUUAGAGGUGUGUGGAAGAUACCGUGCUGAAGAUACAUCAGCUUACUACAAGGGUCUUAUGUCCUGUCUUCAACAGAGUUCCCACAAACAAGAUUUCAAGUGCUUUAGAACUACUGACUGCAGCACAGCCCGGACAGCAGGCAUUUCUUCUGCGUGUUGCUCGUAUGCAAGGCUUAGAUUAAAGGCACAAAGAGAAGAGAGCAGCACGCACAGCUUCAAGCUCUUCAUGUUCCUGGAACGUACAUGGAAUCAUCUUAUUGCUAAAGCAUGA
RNAcentral lists this long non-coding RNA (510 nucleotides) under Cairina moschata (Muscovy duck). RNAcentral describes it as "domestica (muscovy Duck (domestic type)) lncRNA (ENSCMMG00000000120.1)". The record is from RNAcentral. Lineage: Eukaryota; Metazoa; Chordata; Aves; Anseriformes; Anatidae.